Manis javanica (Malayan pangolin) is the source of this 295-nucleotide non-coding RNA. Lineage: Eukaryota; Metazoa; Chordata; Mammalia; Pholidota; Manidae. The record is from RefSeq and is a predicted model, not a curated record.
AGGAAACAAACUAGAUAUAAGAACUGAGAAGACCAUUUUACAUGGAAGCAUGAAACCUUUGAAUGUUGUUACCCCAGGCAGUCACCCAGUUUGAGGAAUUGGUUGGUAUGGCAGAGACCUUGCUUAAGGGUGGAGGGACCAUGUCCACAUCUGCAUCCACCCUUUGGAGAGCAACGAACAACUCCUCACCAGAUUCAUUAGCCUCAACGUGCAGCAAUUCUAAUUCUAAUUCCAGUUCACCAGUUUCCUUGAAAGCUGAAGAAGAGCAUCAUACUGAGGAGAAACAGGUCAGUUG